GACGCGGGGCAGCGUGUGGUGCGUUCCCGCGUGCAGCUCGUGUUCUAGUGCCGUUAUCCGGUUCUGACCCCAAGCUGGGUGCUGUACCCCUCUCAGAACUGCGGAACGAGUAAGAAGACAAAGCACAGACAGUGCAACCAAGGGGACUUUUACUCUUGGCCCAGAAGAAUGGGAGGAGUCUAGAUAAACUGCAAAUCCCGUCUGUGACCUCUUGGAGGCUGGGAGGCUAUAGCAGGGUUCUGUUCAGACGAAGCUGUGGAGAGCAGAGACCGGCAGCCCCCUCUGAGUUCAGCCUUCAAUACCCGCAGAUCUUUCCCUUGUGUUCCUUGAAGCAAGCAGCCUGGCUUAUCCACUCCGGAAGGUUUGUUUGUUCCUUGGCUAGAUUCUCUAUGUGCCUGGCAGAUCAGGAGAGACAGAGGAAGGAUUGCCUUAGGUGGCUGCAGCGGAGAACUAAUGGAGGGAAGGCUUGAGGGCUUUGUCCAGGGGUAUCUGGCUGGAAAUCUGUGGAUGCUCCCUGUCACACAAACGUGCCCAGUCGAAUAUUCUAGUGAGCCUUUUGAUGGCAUCAGAAUAAAGGUGAACCUCUGAGAGAGAAGGCUGACUUUUGUUGGUGUUUGAGGUAUAAGAAUCCAGAGACCUUUGAGUGGGCCUUUUGAAAGCGAGAGGUCCGUCUCCCUAUACCUUUCAGUGUCGAUGUCCAGACUUCCAAGUCUUAGGUGGCCCCCAUGUGCCUUUUAAACCGAUGUCAUUACAAAGAUGUUACAAUCCCCAUCCUUUUUUUAGAAUCACACAAAGAACUAUCCUUAAUAUGAAAUGGGAUAUAAAAAGCAAUUUCUUAUCUGUGAGUCCUCCAGCAAUCAUCAGUGACAUCCAUGAUUAAUGAGUGCAUGGGUGGUUCCUAGAAUGCUAAUUGUCGUUCUGUGGUAUAGAAUCACAACCUGGGUUUUUUGUUUCUCUCUCUUUUUGGCCUUCUGUCCAAGUGUGCCUCUAUCCAAAUCUAAAUAGCAUUUGCCAUGACACAGUUUGUACCCUCAGCAGUUACAAAUGCAAACUAUUUUAUAGUUUUGUAUAAGCAAAUAGUAAAAUUCACGCUUAAAAUGUACAAAAAGGAAAUGAGAUGUCGUGCAUGAUGCUGUCCGUUCAUUAGUGAGCGGGAAUCAGGAGUGCGGUCUGUGGAGAUUCUGUGGAGGUGGACUGACCUGGAUGAAAACUCAUUCUUCUCUUUCAAUGACUGAGUGUCUGUCUUGUCCAGUAAACAAACCUGUCUACCUUUCUGUGCUCUUGGGAUAACGGCAAUGAUCUCUCCAGGUUCUUUCAUGGCAUUAAUGAGAUGAUUCAUAUGAAAGAUUGUCAUUUUUUCCUGGCACAGAAGGGACACAAGGAACACUCUUUAUUGGUUUUUGUUUUUUUGGUACAGGGGAUCAAACUCUGGACCUUCCGCUUGAGAGGCAGGCAAUGGCACCAUUGAGCUAAAUCCCUGGUCCCAGGAACACUCUUUAUUGUUGGUGCAGAAACACUUGUAUCUUGAAUCUUGCUAUAACGUGGAGAAGUUAU
Fukomys damarensis (Damara mole-rat) is the source of this 1554-nucleotide long non-coding RNA. The record is from Ensembl. Lineage: Eukaryota; Metazoa; Chordata; Mammalia; Rodentia; Bathyergidae.